RNAcentral lists this transfer RNA (83 nucleotides) under Erysipelotrichaceae bacterium. RNAcentral describes it as "tRNA-Leu". It matches the Rfam family "tRNA". Rfam says of the family: Transfer RNA (tRNA) molecules are approximately 80 nucleotides in length. Their secondary structure includes four short double-helical elements and three loops (D, anti-codon, and T loops). Further hydrogen bonds mediate the characteristic L-shaped molecular structure. tRNAs have two regions of fundamental functional importance: the anti-codon, which is responsible for specific mRNA codon recognition, and the 3' end, to which the tRNAs corresponding amino acid is attached (by aminoacyl-tRNA synthetases). tRNAs cope with the degeneracy of the genetic code in two manners: having more than one tRNA (with a specific anti-codon) for a particular amino acid; and 'wobble' base-pairing, i.e. permitting non-standard base-pairing at the 3rd anti-codon position. Lineage: Bacteria; Bacillati; Bacillota; Erysipelotrichia; Erysipelotrichales; Erysipelotrichaceae. The record is from RNAcentral.
GCGGGAUUGGCGGAAUUGGCAGACGCGCUAGACUUAGGAUCUAGUUCCUGUGAGUAAGAGUUCGAGUCUCUUAUCCCGCACCA